This 788-nucleotide ribosomal RNA is filed under the name uncultured bacterium. RNAcentral's name for it is "bacterial SSU rRNA". It matches the Rfam family "Bacterial small subunit ribosomal RNA", at positions 1 to 796 of the family's 1533-position model. The record is from RNAcentral.
GGAUCCAGACUUUGAUCAUGGCUCAGGAUGAACGCUGGCGGCGCACUUAAGACAUGCAAGUCGAACGGACUUAACCGAAAUAUUUAUAUUUUGGAGCGGUUAGUGGCGGACUGGUGAGUAACGCGUAAGCAAUCUGCCUAUUAGAGGGGAAUAACAGUGAGAAAUCACUGCUAAUACCGCAUAUGCCAUGAACAUCGCAUGAUGAAAAUGGGAAAGGAGUAAUCCGCUAAUAGAUGAGCUUGCGUCUGAUUAACUAGUUGGUGUGGUAAUGGCAUACCAAGGUAACGAUCAGUAGCCGGACUGAGAGGUUGAACGGCCACAUUGGGACUGAGAUACGGCCCAGACUCCUACGGGAGGCAGCAGUCGGGAAUAUUGCGCAAUGGAGGAAACUCUGACGCAGUGACGCCGCGUAUAGGAUGAAGGUUUUCGGAUUGUAAACUAUUGUCAUUAGGGAAGAUAAAAGACAGUACCUAAGGAGGAAGCUCCGGCUAACUACGUGCCAGCAGCCGCGGUAAUACGUAGGGAGCAAGCGUUAUCCGGAUUUAUUGGGUGUAAAGGGUGCGUAGACGGGAGAUUAAGUUAGUUGUGAAAGCCCUCGGCUUAACUGAGAAAUUGCAACUAAAACUGGUUUUCUUGAGUGCAGGAGAGGUAAGUGGAAUUCCUAGUGUAGCGGUGAAAUGCGUAGAUAUUAGGAGGAACACCAGUGGCGAAGGCGACUUACUGGACUGUAACUGACGUUGAGGCACGAAAGUGUGGGGAGCAAACAGGAUUAGAUACCCUGGUAGUCC